UGUUUAGGCUGGCCACUCAUGUGUCGCGAGUGUUGACAGGGGGCGGGGGAGCACGCUCAUGAACUGUUAGCGCCCGAACCUCCCAACGGCUGCGGAGCGCAUUUGGGCAUAAGAUGAGGUUUGAGUCUGAGUGAUCUGCGUGUAGGCAGGGGCAGCAGCCAUAUCAUUAGAACUAGAUCUGAUGGGUUUGGACAUAAGAUGAGGUUUGAGUCUGAGUGAUCUGCGUGUAGGCAGGGGCAGCAGCCAUAUCAUUAGAACUAGAUCUGAUGGGUUUGGGCAUAAGAUGAGGUUUGAGUCUGAGUGAUCUGCGUGUAGGCAGGGGCAGCAGCCAUAUCAUUAGCUAGAACUAGAUCUGAUGGAUUUGGGCAUAAACGCGAGUGAAGUACCGGACGCGAGAGAGAGAUCAGCACCUGCAGCUCUGCCUGCUGUGAGGGACCGGUGAGCGGAGCAAAACACACCUUUAGACGUCACCUAACACAUUUAGCUAUGGCACUGUCGUAUACAUUGAAUUAUUCAAUUUGAUGAUAUGUAAUCAAUUUAGGCAUCCCUCCCAAAAAAA
Long non-coding RNA from Trematomus bernacchii (emerald rockcod), 559 nucleotides. RefSeq lists it as uncharacterized. Lineage: Eukaryota; Metazoa; Chordata; Actinopteri; Perciformes; Nototheniidae. The record is from RefSeq and is a predicted model, not a curated record. The transcript is spliced from 2 exons.